UGUACUAUAGUUUAUAUAACUAAAACCUUGAAUUGCAAAUUCAUUUAAGGACAACAAAAAUCCUAGUACGG
Molecule: transfer RNA, 71 nt
Filed under: Sinotaia quadrata
Lineage: Eukaryota; Metazoa; Mollusca; Gastropoda; Architaenioglossa; Viviparidae
Description: tRNA-Cys
Source: RNAcentral